CGGUGCAGCAGGCGCGAAAACUUUACAAUGCUGGCAACAGCGAUAAGGGGACCUCGAGUGCCAGGAUACAAUCUUGGCUGUCGUAAUGCCUAAAAAGCAUUGCAUAGCAAGGGCCGGGCAAGACCGGUGCCAGCCGCCGCAGUAACACCGGCGGCUCGAGUGGUAACCGCUAUUAUUGGGUCUAAAGGGUCUGUAGCCGGCCGGAUAAGUCUUUUGGGAAAUCUGGCAGCUUAACUGUCAGGCUUUCAGAAGAUACUGUUUCGGCUCGAGGCCGGGAGAGGUGAGAGGUACUUCAGGGGUAGGGGUGAAAUCUUGUAAUCCUUGAAGGACCACCAGUGGCGAAGGCGUCUCACCAGAACGGUCCUGACGGCAAGGGACGAAAGCUAGGGGCACGAACCGGAUUAGAUACCCGGGUAGUCCUAGCCGUAAACGAUACUCGCUAGGUGUCGGCCACGGUGCGACCGUGGUCGGUGCCGUAGGGAAGCCGUGAAGCGAGCCACCUGGGAAGUACGGCCGCAAGGCUGAAACUUAAAGGAAUUGGCGGGGGAGCAC
This 552-nucleotide ribosomal RNA is filed under the name uncultured archaeon. Its description in RNAcentral is "bacterial SSU rRNA". It matches the Rfam family "Archaeal small subunit ribosomal RNA", at positions 328 to 879 of the family's 1478-position model. The record is from RNAcentral.